RNAcentral lists this ribosomal RNA (494 nucleotides) under uncultured bacterium. RNAcentral's name for it is "partial 16S ribosomal RNA". It matches the Rfam family "Bacterial small subunit ribosomal RNA", at positions 28 to 507 of the family's 1533-position model. The record is from RNAcentral.
GACGAACGCUGGCGGCGUGCUUAACACAUGCAAGUCGAACGGUGAAGCGCCUUCCUUUUUGGUGGGUGUGGAUGAGUGGCGAACGGGUGAGUAACACGUGAGUAACCUGCCCCCUUCUUCUGGAUAACCGCAUGAAAGUGUGGCUAAUACGGGAUAUUCUGGGUCUGUCGCAUGAUGGGUCUGGGAAAGAUAUUGUUUCGGUGGGGGAUGGGCUCGCGGCCUAUCAGCUUGUUGGUGGGGUGAUGGCCUACCAAGGCGGUGACGGGUAGCCGGCCUGAGAGGGUGGACGGUCACACUGGGACUGAGACACGGCCCAGACUCCUACGGGAGGCAGCAGUGGGGAAUAUUGCACGAUGGGCGGAAGGCUGAUGCAGCGACGCCGCGUGAGGGAUGGAGGCCUUCGGGUUGUGAACCUCUUUCGCCAGUGAAGCAGGCCUGCCUCGUUUGUGGGUGGGUUGACGGUAGCUGGAUAAGAAGCGCCGGCUAACUACGUG